This is a long non-coding RNA of Etheostoma spectabile (orangethroat darter), 1358 nucleotides long. RefSeq lists it as uncharacterized. NCBI's taxonomy places the organism in Eukaryota, Metazoa, Chordata, Actinopteri, Perciformes, Percidae. The record is from RefSeq and is a predicted model, not a curated record. The transcript is spliced from 2 exons.
GGUGUGUGUGUGUGUGUGUGUGUGUGUGUGGUGUGUGGUGGGUGUGUGUGGUUGUGUGAUACAAAUCAACGUCAAAUUGUGUUAAAAGUUGUGAUAACAAGCAGGUCAACUAUUGUACUCUAUGUCUAGAUUGUGGAGCGUUUGCUGGUUAGUAAAAAAAGCCCUCAUUCAACAGUAGUGUGUGUGUGUGUGUAUUUGGUAACACUAUACAGCUGCCUUUUUUCUGUUUUUACCCAGCAAAAUGUAUUUCUAACAAUAGAAAAUCCUUUUGUUGAAGUGAAUUUGGAUUUUUACAGGUGUAUAAAGGCCAUAGUUACAUUUAAGAUCAAAUAAAUGUGGAUGUUUGACAAACUAAAGUGAAUACAGUACUUGUCAAAAGUAAAGUGUUAACACCCUUUUUACGUUAAAACUAACAUUUGUGUCAUAAAUUGUAAUAUAUGAAGAAAGUAGCCCGUUUUUGGCUGUGUGUAUUUCAGCUGCAGCAGUUGUAUUAGCCUUUAAAACUUCAUGACAUGUUAGUUCAUCUGCCAAAGGCUUUAAUAAUUUAAUAAAGGUAAUUUUUUCAUUUUUACCAGGGAUGGCGAUUGUAGUUAAAAGUUUUCAUCUGGAUAAUUAUAAAUUAGACUGAUGCUAAUCAUCAGUCUGCCUGAUAAAAGUCACAAAUGUCAGCUGCAGACUAAACUCUCUUAAAAGCAAUUUUUCAUUAUUCUACAUUAUGUUGAAAUACCUAUUAUUCGUUCCCAGGUGUGUAUUUUUAAAUUGUAUUUUUUUCACUGUAGGAAUGCACUUUUUGCUCAAAAGUUCUUCAACGAUCUGUAGCUUUAUUUUUCACUUUAUUUAGCUGCAGUAAGCAAUUAUUAAAAAUAAAUUGAGCAGAAAUGGGAGAUGUGUUUUCUCCUUUCUGAAGGAGUCAUCCCUGGUUUAACUGACAACUGUGUGUGUGUGUGUGUGUGUGUGUGGUGGUUGUGUGUGUGUGUGUGAUCUCUACUUUAUCCAAUACUGUUUUCUUCCAUCGCACUGAACUGCAUUUUCUACCAACUCUGAGCCACUACGCUGCCACAUUCAUACUAAUGUUAAUAAUGUUCAGACUCAAUAAUCACAAUUAAAAACCCGAUGACAUCAUCACCGAGCAUCGGCCGUCGCCGACCCACCGUCUGCUAAACCGUGGCUCCUUGGUGUGAACAGUGUUUUGUGUGACCAACGUGGUCGAUGUAGAACAAACCCCACGGCUCGCUUCUCAGAAGAAGGAAAACCGCCGUGGGGGAUUGACCUAACGGCGGUUUUGUGGGUUCUAGCUGUGUCAUAGGUAACGAGCCUCUGCUUGUUAAAAAUAAACCGUGUUGUGCUGUUUGAACAUU